GUGGGGAAUAUUCCGCAAUGGACGAAAGUCUGACGGAGCAACGCCGCGUGAGUGAUGAAGGUUUUCGGACUGUAAAGCUCUGUUGUUUAGGACGAAAGUGCCUGUUGCGAAUAGUUACAGGUAUUGACGGUACUGAACGAGGAAGCCACGGCUAACUACGUGCCAGCAGCCGCGGUAAUACGUAGGUGGCAAGCGUUGUCCGGAAUUAUUGGGCGUAAAGAGCAUGUAGGCGGGAAUCUAAGUCUGUUGUGAAAAUGCGGGGCUCAACCCCGUAUUGCGAUGGAAACUGGGUUGCUUGAGUGCAGGAGAGGAAAGGGGAAUUCCCAGUGUAGCGGUGAAAUGCGUAGAUAUUGGGAGGAACACCAGUGGCGAAGGCGCCUUUCUGGACUGUGUCUGACGCUGAGAUGCGAAAGCCAGGGUAGCGAACGGGAUUAGAUACCCUGGUAGUCC
RNAcentral lists this ribosomal RNA (450 nucleotides) under uncultured bacterium. RNAcentral describes it as "partial 16S ribosomal RNA". It matches the Rfam family "Bacterial small subunit ribosomal RNA", at positions 354 to 796 of the family's 1533-position model. The record is from RNAcentral.